Molecule: ribosomal RNA, 528 nt
Filed under: Kluyveromyces marxianus
Lineage: Eukaryota; Fungi; Ascomycota; Saccharomycetes; Saccharomycetales; Saccharomycetaceae
Description: eukaryotic LSU rRNA
Rfam family: Eukaryotic large subunit ribosomal RNA
Source: RNAcentral
GCGAGUGAAGCGGCAAAAGCUCAAAUUUGAAAUCUGGCGUCUUCGACGUCCGAGUUGUAAUUUGAAGAAGGCGACUUUGUAGCUGGUCCUUGUCUAUGUUCCUUGGAACAGGACGUCAUAGAGGGUGAGAAUCCCGUGUGGCGAGGAUCCCAGUUAUUUGUAAAGUGCUUUCGACGAGUCGAGUUGUUUGGGAAUGCAGCUCUAAGUGGGUGGUAAAUUCCAUCUAAAGCUAAAUAUUGGCGAGAGACCGAUAGCGAACAAGUACAGUGAUGGAAAGAUGAAAAGAACUUUGAAAAGAGAGUGAAAAAGUACGUGAAAUUGUUGAAAGGGAAGGGCAUUUGAUCAGACAUGGCGUUUGCUUCGGCUUUCGCUGGGCCAGCAUCAGUUUUAGCGGUUGGAUAAAUCCUCGGGAAUGUGGCUCUGCUUCGGUAGAGUGUUAUAGCCCGUGGGAAUACAGCCAGCUGGGACUGAGGAUUGCGACUUUUGUCAAGGAUGCUGGCGUAAUGGUUAAAUGCCGCCCGUCUUGAA